GGGGAAUAUUGCGCAAUGGGGGGAACCCUGACGCAGCAACGCCGCGUGAGCGAAGAAGGCCUUCGGGUCGUAAAGCUCUGUCAUGAGGGAAGAAGUCUCUCGUUUAUAGGGAGGUGACGGUACCUCAAGAGGAAGCCCCGGCUAACUACGUGCCAGCAGCCGCGGUAACACGUAGGGGGCGAGCGUUGUCCGGAAUUACUGGGCGUAAAGGGCGUGUAGGCGGCUGAUUAAGUCAGUUGUAAAAGGCUGCGGCUCAACCGCAGGAAUGCAAUUGAAACUGAUCAGCUUGAGGGCAAGAGAGGGAAGCGGAAUUCCUAGUGUAGCGGUGAAAUGCGUAGAUAUUAGGAGGAACACCAGUGGCGAAGGCGGCUUUCUGGCUUGUCCCUGACGCUGAGGCGCGAAAGCGUGGGGAGCAAAC
Molecule: ribosomal RNA, 418 nt
Filed under: uncultured bacterium
Lineage: Bacteria
Description: bacterial SSU rRNA
Rfam family: Bacterial small subunit ribosomal RNA
Source: RNAcentral